CCUACGGGUGACAGCAGUGAGGAAUAUUGGUCAAUGGUCGGGAGACUGAACCAGCCAAGCCGCGUGAGGGAUGAAGGUACAGAGUAUCGUAAACCUCUUUUGUCAGGGAACAAAGGCGGGGACGUGUCCCCGGAUGAGUGUACCUGAAGAAAAAGCAUCGGCUAACUCCGUGCCAGCAGCCGCGGUAAGACGGGGGAUGCGAGCGUUAUCCGGAUUGAUUGGGUUUAAGGGGUGCGCAGGGGGUCUGUUAAGUCAGCGGUCAAAGCCCGGGCCUAAACCCGGCACCGCCGUUGAAACUGGCAGUCUCGAGUUGGAGAGAGGGAUGCGGAAUGCGCGGUGUAGCGGUGAAAUGCAUAGAUAUCGCGCAGAACUCCGAUUGCGAAGGCAGCAUGCCGGCUCCACACUGACGCUGAGGCACGAAAGCGUGGGUAUCGAACAGGAUUAGAUAUCCCUGUAGUC
RNAcentral lists this ribosomal RNA (459 nucleotides) under uncultured bacterium. RNAcentral's name for it is "partial 16S ribosomal RNA". It matches the Rfam family "Bacterial small subunit ribosomal RNA", at positions 338 to 795 of the family's 1533-position model. The record is from RNAcentral.